UGCGCAGGCGGGUUUGUAAGUCAGUGGUGAAAUCCUGCCGCUUAACGGUAGAAUUGCCAUUGAUACUGCGAAUCUUGAGUAUGGUUGAGGUAGGCGGAAUGUGUAGUGUAGCGGUGAAAUGCAUAGAUAUUACACAGAACUCCGAUUGCGAAGGCAGCUUACUAAGCCAUAACUGACGCUGAGGCACGAAAGCGUGGGGAGCGAACAGGAUUAGAUACCCUGGUAGUC
This 228-nucleotide ribosomal RNA is filed under the name uncultured bacterium. RNAcentral describes it as "partial 16S ribosomal RNA". It matches the Rfam family "Bacterial small subunit ribosomal RNA", at positions 568 to 795 of the family's 1533-position model. The record is from RNAcentral.